CAAAAAGUAGCUUACCCAAAGCAUUCAGCUUACAAUUGAAAAACGUUAGACGCACUAACCUUUUUGA
This 67-nucleotide transfer RNA is filed under the name Uranoscodon superciliosus. RNAcentral describes it as "tRNA-Val". Lineage: Eukaryota; Metazoa; Chordata; Lepidosauria; Squamata; Tropiduridae. The record is from RNAcentral.